UACGUAGGGUACGAGCGUUGUCCGGAAUUAUUGGGCGUAAAGAGCUCGUAAGUGGUUGGUCACGUCUGCUGUGGAAACGCAACGCUUAACGUUGCGCGGGCAGUGGGUACGGGCUGACUAGAGUGCAGUAGGGGAGUCUGGAAUUCCUGGUGUAGCGGUGAAAUGCGCAGAUAUCAGGAGGAACACCGGUGGCGAAGGCGGGACUCUGGGCUGUGACUGACACUGAGGAGCGAAAGCAUGGGGAGCGAACAGGAUUAGAUA
RNAcentral lists this ribosomal RNA (261 nucleotides) under uncultured prokaryote. RNAcentral describes it as "partial 16S ribosomal RNA". It matches the Rfam family "Bacterial small subunit ribosomal RNA", at positions 524 to 784 of the family's 1533-position model. The record is from RNAcentral.